CCCUUCAGUCAAGAGGUGUUUUUUCCAUCAUACUCAAGCUUUACCAGCCUGGUUGCAGUGUGACCUCUGCAGGACACAGAUUAAGCAUAUGGACAUCAAUUCCACAUUCUUUAUGGGGAAAUCGCAUGGGCAUUGUUAAGUCAUUUAAUCUAAACUUUGAACGAGAAAAAUAAUAAGGUGAUUAAGGACAACCCAAAGCUACUUGAUAAUGUGAUGCUGAUGGGAUGGAGUCGCCUUUCGCUGCUGAGCUCGGACGGACACUAGUUGCUGAGUGCGGGGAAGAGGCAGUGACAAUUCCCAGAGCCGAUAGUGCAAAAAUUACUCAAGAGCUUGUCUGGGUAAUCCUCCUUGUGUCCUGCUGCAGAAAGCAUGCACAGCUCCUUCCAGAAGGACCCUGGACAUCUCUCUUGAAUUGCCACCCUCUCAUCUUCCGUCAGUAACAUCAAGAGGCGCUGUGUCCCCAGCGUGGCUGGCUCCAGAAGCAGGCUGUAAAAUUGCAGCCGCGCCAAAGGGAGCCUCUCCAACAUGACUGCCCUUCACGCCUUGCAAGAUCCAGCAGCUGCUUAAAAAUGAGUCCUCAGACUUCUGAAGGUCCGUCUAUGUAUUUUCUCCAGCACAUUCUCUGUAAGUUUAGUGGGACAACUUGUAUGUCUGAAAUUAGGUGGGAAACCAAACCAUUCACUGAACAAUCUGGAACAAACCUGGUGUUGCUGGGGCUUCAUCACCAAGUGCAGCUUAUAGUACUGAAUAUCAAGCCCGUUGCUGAUGUUUUUACAGCUCAGCUGUAGGAACAGUAACACAUUUUCUCAGGCCACUAGUGUUUUAAGCUGUGUGCUGAAUGCAAAUCUAAUACAGCCAAGAAAUGCUAAAAAUGCUAUCAGCUGGGAGAAAUUAGAUACAUAUCAUUUAGAAAUGCUCCUCCAGUUGUUUCUCAGAUUAUUUCUUGUUACAAAUAUGCAUCCAUAAUCAGACAUGAAAUUGUAGCUAUUUGGUUAGAAAUGCCUCCUGAGUUUGGGCUUAUUAGAAUACAAGACCAACUGCAGAAGCAGGAAGAGAUUAACAAAAAUAAAAUAACCCCGCACACAUACACAAUUAGAUUUAGCUCUCUCAGCCAUGUAAUUUUAUGAUUGCAGAAAACUGGAAAGUCACAGCUCCUCUAUUCAAUUUAGAUUGCAAUCAGAUUCUAAUUCAGAUUUCAAUUAAUACUUUGGAAAAAUUACCACAAUAGUGAAGAGGAAAAAUGAACUGCAGGGACUCUCCAUACAGAAUGAAAUGAAAGUUACAGUUUAAACAUAUAAGACUGAUUAGAAACCCCGUGUUGUUCGUUAAGGCCACUGCGUACUAGGGAAGGACAACAAAGUCGGAGCUGUUCUUCCCCAUUUUGCUUGGGUGGCUACAAGGAUAACUCACCACACUGG
Molecule: long non-coding RNA, 1418 nt
Organism: Nothoprocta perdicaria
Lineage: Eukaryota; Metazoa; Chordata; Aves; Tinamiformes; Tinamidae
Exons: 3
Source: RefSeq, a predicted model, not a curated record